UACGUAGGGUGCAAGCGUUGUCCGGAAUUAUUGGGCGUAAAGGGCUCGUAGGCGGUUUGUCACGUCGGGAGUUAACGUAACGGCGGUCUAACCCCGAGCCUGCUUCCGAUACGGGCAGACUAGAGGUAUGCAGGGGAGAACGGAAUUCCUGGUGUAGCGGUGAAAUGCGCAGAUAUCAGGAGGAACACCGGUGGCGAAGGCGGUUCUCUGGGCAUUACCUGACGCUGAGGAGCGAAAGUGUGGGGAGCGAACAGG
This 255-nucleotide ribosomal RNA is filed under the name uncultured bacterium. RNAcentral describes it as "partial 16S ribosomal RNA". It matches the Rfam family "Bacterial small subunit ribosomal RNA", at positions 524 to 776 of the family's 1533-position model. The record is from RNAcentral.